CACUCUCGAUUGAUUUAGGAAGGUUUUAGGUCUCUUGGGAUUUACAUCUAAUGUAACCAUCUACCCCAUACCAUAUGUCAUUCGAUUUACAUCUUAUGUAAAUGUCAUAUUGGUUCAGGUUUACAUCCUAUGUAAUUAUGAAAUUCUUUCAUAUAUUAUGUGAUUACAUCUUAUGUAAAUGACAUAACUGUUUCAGUUUACAUCUUAUGUAAAUUUCCUAUUGUUUAAGGGUUUUAUUUACAUCUCAUGCAAAUAAAUUUUUGUUUAACUAAUACAUACAUCUCAUGCAUACAUUAUUUUAAACAUAAUCUUAAAUAAGCAUGAACAUUAUGAUUACCAUAUGCAUCUCAUGUAUAUUUUCAGAUCUGAAAUUUUAAACCUAUUAUGCUAUUCUCUGAAUUUCAGAUCAUGCAUUACUUGAUUUAAAACAUUGUAAUCUAAUUGCAAUUCUAAAAUAAUUUGCAAGAUCAUAACAAAUAAAAAUCUGCAUGCUGAAAAUUUCAGUAACCUGAAAUUUCAGCACGCAGAAAAUCCAGCAAGCAUAAUUCCUUUAAAAAUCAGAUUAAAAAUGUGGUAAUCAAUCCUUAGGUCCUAAUCAUGCUCCCUAAAACCAUGGCUCUGAUACCACUUGUCACGCCCUCGCCUCUUCGGGGCACGUGAGGCACCUAGUGCCCACGUGGGGGUCACAUAAGGAGGGACCGUGGGGCUUUCCUACCAGAUAUUGUCCGAUUCCGGAGCUUCACGCAAGCGUCCUUCAUCCCUCCUCGGUUUUGUUUUCCUCCCAAAAUGUGUCUGCAGGAUUAAAAAUUAAUCCCUAAUGACACAUGCCUUAAAUUCUCAACUUCUUGAAAUUAUGUGUCAUCAUCUAUUAAUUUCUUGGACGAUUCAUGGACACAUACAAACAUGAAUAAAAAAUAAAUUGCCCAAUCUUAUUUAUUAAUAAGUGUCAAAUUACAAAUUUAUGCCCAAGAUUACAAAUAUGCGUCAGCCCCAUUGGCUUCUAGGGCAUGCUUCUAACACUAUCCAUGCUCACAAAUCCAGCCUUGCUUCCUUAUCCGAAUCCCCUGUUCCCACCGAACUCAGGAUCCGUUCGUGUUUGUUCCCAGCAACUUCAUCUCUAGCAUUUCCAUCUCCACGGAUUGCGUCCCAGCUCCCCUGUUCCGCGUCCGAGUAUCCCGUGGCUAGCCGGAUGAACUUCUCGAUCGCAUCUUCACAUCCCGAUCACCUCUUACGGAUAAGUCCUAGCUUGUUCCAACCAUUUGCCUCUUCCCAGCGUCUGCGUAUGAUCAUCCAUCAAAUCUCAGCAUAAUCCAUCCUUAUCCAGCUGCCAACCAAGUUCCAAGCUUCUUCCGGAUCAUCUUCUACUCAACAAAUCCAACGUUCGGAUUAGAUAUGGCAAUAUUUCCCAUCAUCCGUGUAAGAGAUGAAGCCUCCACGAGAUUAUCCUCCCAUUCGGAUCAGCCACAGAGGAGGAGAGAG
RNAcentral lists this long non-coding RNA (1479 nucleotides) under Phoenix dactylifera (date palm). RNAcentral describes it as "long non-coding RNA (PDAC_LNC012116)". The record is from RNAcentral. Lineage: Eukaryota; Viridiplantae; Streptophyta; Magnoliopsida; Arecales; Arecaceae.